AGAUAUGAUUAUAUGUUUGACUCUCUCUUUCUUGACAUCAGUGCACACAUGCUUGAAUUUAUUGGCAAGAAGAUGGUUUUGAAGAGAAUGAGAACUGUUUAGAUUAUUUUUUGGUAGGCUGGGACAGGCACAUGGGCACUAUAAUCAUCAAAGGAGAUGUAAUAUGUGAGUGUUAAGACAAACANGAUAUACCAAAAACUUUGCCCCGAUUUGGUGUUUGGAAAAACGAACAUGGGGUUUGGAUCUAUGGAAAAUAAGGUGAAAAAUUCCAGUGAGAUUCACAAAGCUGCCCCGGUCCUGAGAUUAUGGGUUGAUGUGUUUCAGGGCGAAGACACGUGGUGAGAUCCACAAAGUUGCCCCAAUUUUUUUCUUUAGCUUAGGGUUCUGUUUGGAAGGGGUGGUGGGUAUGAAAAAGAUUGGAUAAAAGGAUGAACCCAAUUGGUUGGAUUUUCUUUUGCAUGUUUCUGGCUUGUUGGCAGGGAGACCCCCUCUUCCUGAGACAUUACUUUUUUCUUCUUUUUUUUUACGACACUGUGAAAGUCGCCUUAUCG
RNAcentral lists this long non-coding RNA (551 nucleotides) under Vigna radiata. Its description in RNAcentral is "long non-coding RNA (VRAD_LNC005280)". The record is from RNAcentral. Lineage: Eukaryota; Viridiplantae; Streptophyta; Magnoliopsida; Fabales; Fabaceae.